GCGGGGGUUCCCAAGUGGCCAAAGGGGCAGGACUGAGGCUUCUGUGUGCGUAAGCCUUCGAGGGUUCGAAUCCCUUCCCUCGCA
RNAcentral lists this transfer RNA (84 nucleotides) under Candidatus Altarchaeales archaeon A3. RNAcentral describes it as "Candidatus Altiarchaeales archaeon A3 tRNA-Leu". It matches the Rfam family "tRNA". From Rfam's summary of the family: Transfer RNA (tRNA) molecules are approximately 80 nucleotides in length. Their secondary structure includes four short double-helical elements and three loops (D, anti-codon, and T loops). The record is from RNAcentral. Lineage: Archaea; Nanobdellati; Candidatus Altarchaeota; Candidatus Altarchaeia; Candidatus Altarchaeales.